GCCAAAUCUGAGCAAGUGUUUUGCACAGACUCUUGACAUAAAACUCAUACCUGGAAGGGAAAACUUGGGUCAGAAUUUGUCCAUCCCAGUCAACUCCUUUGGAGAGCCCAGCGAGGAGCUGCACAACGGAUACUGCCAGUUUAGAUUUUAAAGCAGUUUCCCAUGGAUUCCUUAUACCCUACUUGAAAAAUCAGAGCAAGAAACAGGCCUCUUUCGAACCACUGCAGGCCCUGCUUCACAAAGGAAAUGAUGCUGUAAAAAAGAUUCUGCCUAGGAGAUACUAAGUCCCCGGUAGGUUUCACUGCCACUAAAUAUUACAGAGAAUUCCAAAAAGUGACUGGACAUUUCCAUAAUUAAUUAAAAUCUU
RNAcentral lists this long non-coding RNA (367 nucleotides) under Crocodylus porosus (Australian saltwater crocodile). RNAcentral describes it as "lncRNA (ENSCPRG00005005339.1)". The record is from RNAcentral. Lineage: Eukaryota; Metazoa; Chordata; Crocodylia; Crocodylidae.